CUCCUACGGGAGGCAGCAGUGAGGAAUAUUGGUCAAUGGACGCAAGUCUGAACCAGCCAAGUAGCGUGCAGGAUGACGGCCCUCCGGGUUGUAAACUGCUUUUAGUUGGGAAUAAAAAAGAUCACGUGUGGUCUAUUGUAUGUACCUUCAGAAAAAGGACCGGCUAAUUCCGUGCCAGCAGCCGCGGUAAUACGGAAGGUCCAGGCGUUAUCCGGAUUUAUUGGGUUUAAAGGGAGCGUAGGCGGAUUAUUAAGUCAGUGGUGAAAGACGGUGGCUCAACCGUCGUUAGCCAUUGAAACUGGUAGUCUUGAGUGCAGACAGGGAUGCUGGAACUCGUGGUGUAGCGGUGAAAUGCUUAGAUAUCACGAUGAACUCCGAUCGCGAAGGCAGGUGUCCGGGCUGCAACUGACGCUGAGGCUCGAAAGUGUGGGUAUCAAACAGGAUUAGAUACCCUGGUAGUCCACACAGUAAACGAUGUAUACUCGCGGUUUGCGAUACAGUGUAAGCCGCCAAGCGAAAGCAUUAAGUAUACCACCUGGGGAGUACGCCGGCAACGGUGAAACUCAAAGGAAUUGACGGGGGCCCGCACAAGCGGAGGAACAUGUGGUUUAAUUCGAUGAUACGCGAGGAACCUUACCCGGACUUGAACUAAGAGUGACGAACCAAGAGAUUGGUUUUUCUUCGGACACUCUUGGAGGUGCUGCAUGGUUGUCGUCGGCUCGUGCCGUGAGGUGUCGGCUUAAGUGCCAUAACGAGCGCAACCCUUUUCCUUGGUUGCCAUCAGGUAAUGCUGGGCACUCCAGCGAUACUGCCAUCGUAAGAUGUGAGGAAGGUGGGGAUGACGUCAAAUCAGCACGGCCCUUACGUCCGGGGCUACACACGUGUUACAAUGGGGGGUACAGAAGGCCGCUACCUGGCGACAGGAUGCUAAUCUUUAAAACCUCUCUCAGUUCGGAUCGGAGUCUGCAACCCGACUCCGUGAAGCUGGAUUCGCUAGUAAUCGCGCAUCAGCCAUGGCGCGGUGAAUACGUUCCCGGGUCUUGUACACACGC
RNAcentral lists this ribosomal RNA (1052 nucleotides) under uncultured bacterium. RNAcentral describes it as "bacterial SSU rRNA". It matches the Rfam family "Bacterial small subunit ribosomal RNA", at positions 336 to 1393 of the family's 1533-position model. The record is from RNAcentral.